This 1038-nucleotide ribosomal RNA is filed under the name Triticum aestivum (bread wheat). Its description in RNAcentral is "partial small subunit ribosomal RNA". Lineage: Eukaryota; Viridiplantae; Streptophyta; Magnoliopsida; Poales; Poaceae. The record is from RNAcentral.
AUGGGGACUCCACACAGCAAGCCAACGGAACAGACGACCUCAUCACAUGUACCUCCAGGCCCGAUGGAGGGGACAAAUGUUGACGACUCUAACGAAGGGAUCAUACCCGUAGCCGAUGAUGUUGACAAAAUUUACCCACGUAGUCUAGGAGUCCAUAUUACUCCCUCGGAACGGAUGAUAUUUGAGACCGAUGGUGAUAGCACAUAUGAUACACCAGGAGAUGUUGCAGGCCCGAUGGAGGGGACAAAUGUUGACGACUCUAACAAAGGGGUUAUACAUGUAGCCGACGAUGUUCACAAGAUUUACCCAAGUAGUCCAGGAGUCCAUAUUACUCCCUCGGCAUGGAUGAUACUUGAACAGACCGAUUGUGAAAGGACAUAUAUUCAUCAACCUUCCCAUCUGAUUACGGAUUCAUUGCCGGCUCUCAGUAAUCUGACAAAAGAACUAGCUAGCAUGCAACGUGAUAAAGAGGAAAAGAGGCCGCAGAAUGUUCCACACCAUCCUCUCAGUGAUAUCACUAAUGCUUAUCAACCAUCCUCUAUGGACCUUGACGAAAAAAGAGAGUUCAUAAAAUCUCGGAGGCGAGCUGCUUAUCGAAAGAAAAAAGAGGAGGCUACCGUCAAGCAACAAGAUGAAAAUCUGUCUGCCCUUACGAUAUCAGAUGUGCAAAAUGUUACCCUGUCCCCUCUCGGUGAUAUCACUGAUGGGUGUCAACCUACCUCGGUGGACCUUGACGAGAAAAAAGAGCAAAUAAAUGCUCGGAGGCGAGCUGCUUAUCGAAAGAAGAAAGAGGAGGCUACCGUCAAGCAACAAGAUGGAAAUUUGUCUUCCCUUACGAUAUCAGAUAUGCAAAAUGUACCCCUGUUACCUCUCGGUGACAUCACUAAUGGGUGUCAACCAACCUCGGUGGACCUUGACGAGAAAAAAGAGCAAAUAAAGGCUCGGAGGCGAGCUGCUUAUCGAAAGAAAAAAGAGGAGGCAGCCAGCAAGCAACAAGAUGAAAAUCUAGCUGCCCUUACGAAAUCAGAUAAAAAGUGA